AGCAUGUUAAAAUGCAGAUUUGUCUGGAGUGGGGCUGGAGAUUCUGCAUUUCUAACAACUUCCCAGGUGAUGCCAA
This 76-nucleotide microRNA precursor is filed under the name Pteropus vampyrus (large flying fox). RNAcentral describes it as "miRNA (ENSPVAG00000029543.1)". The record is from RNAcentral. Lineage: Eukaryota; Metazoa; Chordata; Mammalia; Chiroptera; Pteropodidae.